Neofelis nebulosa (Clouded leopard) is the source of this 470-nucleotide long non-coding RNA. RefSeq lists it as uncharacterized. The record is from RefSeq and is a predicted model, not a curated record. The transcript has 3 exons. Lineage: Eukaryota; Metazoa; Chordata; Mammalia; Carnivora; Felidae.
AGAGGGGAAGACAGCUUUAAUUUAGGUGGGUAUAUUAGAGCUCCUGAGGCGAGGUGCUCUUUGGUACUACUUUAAGGAAGUAGUGGCAAUUAAUGGGAAUAGCCUUUUAGGUAAGAAGAAAAGCAAAACUGAAACCUCUCCGGCAGAAACAAGCACUGUCCUAGGUGCUGAGGAAUACAACAGCAAACAAAAUAGACUCCUCAAGCACCAGGCUGGAUUUUAUCUCUUUAUGUCUAUUUCACCAAGUCCUCACAAUGCUCCUGCAAAGCAUUUGGGGCUUUAUCUGUUUGCUGACAUUCCCUGAAGAUGGCUGGCUGGAGUGGGAGAGUCACAGAUGUGAUGUUCUCAGUCCCAUAGCUGCAAUCUGGGCCAGGAGACCCCAAUCCGUGAGGAAGGGCUUAGGAUCUGGUAUAAUGCUACGGUGGGCCUCAAUUCCCUCAUCCACAUUUUGUUCUACCCUUAUCAGGUGG